RNAcentral lists this ribosomal RNA (497 nucleotides) under uncultured bacterium. RNAcentral's name for it is "partial 16S ribosomal RNA". It matches the Rfam family "Bacterial small subunit ribosomal RNA", at positions 28 to 507 of the family's 1533-position model. The record is from RNAcentral.
GAUGAACGCUGGCGGCGUGCCUAAUACAUGCAAGUCGAGCGAACAGACGAGGAGCUUGCUCCUCUGACGUUAGCGGCGGACGGGUGAGUAACACGUGGAUAACCUACCUAUAAGACUGGGAUAACUUCGGGAAACCGGAGCUAAUACCGGAUAAUAUAUUGAACCGCAUGGUUCAAUAGUGAAAGACGGUUUUGCUGUCACUUAUAGAUGGAUCCGCGCCGCAUUAGCUAGUUGGUAAGGUAACGGCUUACCAAGGCAACGAUGCGUAGCCGACCUGAGAGGGUGAUCGGCCACACUGGAACUGAGACACGGUCCAGACUCCUACGGGAGGCAGCAGUAGGGAAUCUUCCGCAAUGGGCGAAAGCCUGACGGAGCAACGCCGUGUGAGUGAUGAAGGUCUUCGGAUCGUAAAACUCUGUUAUUAGGGAAGAACAAAUGUGUAAGUAACUAUGCACGCCUUGACGGUACCUAAUCAGAAAGCCACGGCUAACUACGUG